This 213-nucleotide unclassified non-coding RNA is filed under the name fungal sp. ture-4. RNAcentral describes it as "partial contains ITS1, 5.8S rRNA and ITS2". The stretch from base 82 to 213 matches the Rfam family "5.8S ribosomal RNA", at positions 1 to 132 of the family's 154-position model. Rfam says of the family: 5.8S ribosomal RNA (5.8S rRNA) is a component of the large subunit of the eukaryotic ribosome. It is transcribed by RNA polymerase I as part of the 45S precursor that also contains 18S and 28S rRNA. The record is from RNAcentral. Lineage: Eukaryota; Fungi.
UCCGGUUAAUUACAAACUCGUAUGGAUUUGUAUGAACGUGAGACAUAUCGUUGGACCGUCACUGGCCAACAAAUAUAACACAACUUUCGACAACGGAUCUCUUGGUUCUCCCAUCGAUGAAGAACGCAGCGAAACGCGAUAGGUAAUGUGAAUUGCAGAAUUCCGUGAAUCAUCGAAUCUUUGAACGCACCUUGCGCUCUAUGGUAUUCCGUA